Molecule: long non-coding RNA, 397 nt
Filed under: Bactrocera tryoni
Lineage: Eukaryota; Metazoa; Arthropoda; Insecta; Diptera; Tephritidae
Description: uncharacterized LOC120780310, transcript variant X2
Source: RNAcentral
AAUCGAAACGAAGGGAUAUAAUAUUAGUAUUGUAAAGAUAGUGAAACCGUGACAUAUUGUGAUUAGAUAACCUAUUUAUUAUUUUUUGUGAAAAAUAUAAUAAUGUUUGAAUUUGAUUGUGCAUCAGUUACCUUAUUUAACCCGAUUUUCUAAACCAGAGAUUUUUUGAAUGCGAUGCGGUUCCAUGGAAGAGAACAAGUUAAAGUAUGGCUAUUAUCAAUUUUGAUGGUUCACAGCGCAGUUGCCGGGAACCCAGAUGCAAAAAGACUGUAUGACGAUUUACUAAGUAACUACAAUAAACUUGUUCGACCUGUGGUAAAUACGACAGAUGUUCUUAAAGUAUGCAUAAAGUUAAAGUUGUCACAACUCAUAGACGUGAAAACCCGACUACUUAGCU